GCCCCCAUCGUCCAGCGGCCUAGGACGCCGGCCUUUCACGCCGGUAACACGGGUUCGAAUCCCGUUGGGGGUACGA
Molecule: transfer RNA, 76 nt
Filed under: Acidimicrobiaceae bacterium
Lineage: Bacteria; Bacillati; Actinomycetota; Acidimicrobiia; Acidimicrobiales; Acidimicrobiaceae
Also listed under: 1 other name
Description: tRNA-Glu
Rfam family: tRNA
About the family: Transfer RNA (tRNA) molecules are approximately 80 nucleotides in length. Their secondary structure includes four short double-helical elements and three loops (D, anti-codon, and T loops).
Source: RNAcentral